UAAUACCAGCUCUCCGAGUGGUGUGGAUGUUUAUUGGGCCUAAAGCAUCCGUAGCUGGCUAAGUUAGUCCCUUGUUAAAUCCACCGAAUUAAUCGUUGGAUUGCGGGGGAUACUGCUUGGCUAGGGGACGAGAGAGGCAGACGGUAUUUUUGGGGUAGGGGUGAAAUCCUAUAAUCCCAGGAAGACCACCAGUGGCGAAGGCUGUCUGCUAGAACGCGCCCGACGGUGAGGGAUGAAAGCUGGGGGAGCGAACCGGAUUAGAUACCCGGGUAGUCCCAGCUGUAAACGAUGCAAACUAGGUGUUUGAACGGCCACGUGCCGUUCUAGUGCCGCAGGGAAGCUGUUAAGUUUGCCGCCUGGGGAGUACGAUCGCAAGAUUGAAACUUAAAUGAAUUGACGG
RNAcentral lists this ribosomal RNA (400 nucleotides) under uncultured archaeon. RNAcentral describes it as "bacterial SSU rRNA". It matches the Rfam family "Archaeal small subunit ribosomal RNA", at positions 471 to 871 of the family's 1478-position model. The record is from RNAcentral.